Molecule: ribosomal RNA, 100 nt
Filed under: Acanthosepion pharaonis
Lineage: Eukaryota; Metazoa; Mollusca; Cephalopoda; Sepiida; Sepiidae
Source: RNAcentral
ACGGCUGUAUCAUGUUGAAAUAUUGGUUCCCGUACGAUCACCAACAUUAAGCAACGUCGAGCCUGGCCUGUACUCAGAUGGGUGACCGCUUGGAAAUACC